GACGAACGCUGGCGGCGUGCUUAACACAUGCAAGUCGAACGGCAAGGCCCUGCUUUUGUGGGGUUCUCGAGUGGCGAACGGGUGAGUAACACGUGAGUAACCUGCCCUUCACUUUGGUAUAACUUCAGGAAACUGGGGCUACUACCGUAUAGGAUCUCCUGCUCCAUUGUGGGGGUUGGAAAGUUUCGGCGGUUGGGGAUGGACUCGCGGCUUAUCAGCUUGUUGGUGGGGUAGUGGCUUACCAAGGCAUUGACGGGUAGCCGGCCUGAGAGGGUGACCGGCCACAUUGGGACUGAGAUACGGCCCAGACUCGUACGGGAGGCAGCAGUGGGGAAUAUUGCACAAUGGGCGGAAGCCUGAUGCAGCAACGCCGCGUGCGGGAUGACGGCCUUCGGGUUGUAAACCGCUUUCGCCUGUGACGAAGCGUGAGUGACGGUAAUGGGUAAAGAAGCACCGGCUAACUACGUG
This 468-nucleotide ribosomal RNA is filed under the name uncultured bacterium. Its description in RNAcentral is "partial 16S ribosomal RNA". It matches the Rfam family "Bacterial small subunit ribosomal RNA", at positions 28 to 507 of the family's 1533-position model. The record is from RNAcentral.